RNAcentral lists this ribosomal RNA (257 nucleotides) under uncultured bacterium. RNAcentral's name for it is "partial 16S ribosomal RNA". It matches the Rfam family "Bacterial small subunit ribosomal RNA", at positions 15 to 263 of the family's 1533-position model. The record is from RNAcentral.
GAUCAUGGCUCAGGACGAACGCUGGCGGCGUGCUUAACACAUGCAAGUCGAACGCUGAAGCCUAGCUUGCUGGGUGGAUGAGUGGCGAACGGGUGAGUAACACGUGAGUAACCUGCCCUCUUCUUUGGGAUAACGCCCGGAAACGGGUGCUAAUACUGGAUAUUCACUGGCCUUCGCAUGGGGGUUGGUGGGAAAGGGUUUUUUUACUUGGUGGGGGAGUGGGCUCGCGGCCUAUCAGCUUGUUGGUGGGGUGAUGG